CCGCCCAAAACGCGUCACAGAGGCGGGUGAGCACAGGUGUGAUCGCACUUGACUCCCAUCGCAUCCGGGGAAACACUCGCACCGGCCUCCGAAGACUUCAUCAGAACAAAGAAGGCAAGAAAAGCAGCAGCAGCAGCAAUGGGAAGAAAGAGGACUUUGCAGUAUUUCAUAGAAGCUUCAGACAACACAUGACCUGAAGUAAAUCCUGCCUUCACACUUGAUCCGUACCUUGACACAGCUUCCAAAAACAAUGCAGUUGCAGAAUGGUACAAUUGCUACCUGCAGAUAAGGUUCAGUCUAUUCUACAGAGCUGUGAUGAUACAGUGCAUCAGGCCUGGACAUGGAACUGGGAAGAAAAUAAUGGAUUCAUGCUAAGAAGCAAUAAUUUCCCAUGCCAUAAAAACCCGUGUGGAGAUUUGGGAAACUCUGCAAAGUGAGGCGAAUUUUCCCACUGUGAAACAAGCCAUAUUUCUGCUGUUUCCACUGGGAAGGGAACCCACUUCCUUGCUGGCCUUCUGCAACUUAUUGUACCAUUUCUGCUGAACAACAUUUCAAACCUCGAGUUGAAAAGAAUGAGAUGCAGCUUUUAUAGCUGCAAUAAGGCCACCUGCAAUUGCUAGUGUCUCUGAAGUGGGAUAACACUGUUCCUGUGUGGGUAGGAGAGAAAUUUAGCUAUAAAAGAAUGGUUACACUGGGUAUUAUUUGUGAAGUUUGUUUGUGAUUUACUAAAACUGCUUUGCAAAACACUUUGAUUUGCAUGUGGUGGCAUUUUUUAUCUAACAGUUUAAUUGACAUAAAUAUUUAGUAUGUCCUUGCCAAAGAAACCACAACAGAAAAUUAACAUGCAAGUCAAACAGCAAAGGACCAAUUCAGAUCCCCCUGGAAUUUUCUUGGGAAUCGAAAGCCACUUGGAAUAAACAUUUGCCAGCUCAACAAUUUGAAGUAGCCUACAGACAUCUCUCUAAUAGCCUAUGUAAUAAUUGACAGAGCACAGCACAUGGAAAAGAUGCCAGCACAUCCCAGAUACAAGGCUGUUGAGAGGAUUAAGUAUAAUCCUUUCUCACCAAGGAACACAGAAAAUAAGAAAUGGAACUGCAUUGUGUUGAAUAGCACUGAGUCAAAAAUACACUUAUCACAAGCUUUUGGGUUUUUUUUUGCUCAGCAGAGCUUCACUGAGAAGGGAAUGCAAGAAUUCUGAAAAAUAUGGCAUUAUUACCAUGGAACUCCAGGCAAAGCAGGAAAUAAUCUUUAAUUAAUGUGUGAGGAACCUGCAUUUGGCAGACAGAGUCUGCCAAAUAAAGACAGAACAGCAGUUUUCUUAUUUGGCUGAUAAAAUUGACCAAAAGUGAAGAAAUGCCAUAGUUAAGAAGCAUUAGAACAAUGGAUUUUUACUAGGGGACAUAACAGAAAUCCACAGGGAAUCCUGGCAAGGCUCAUCAGGUGUUUUGUCUUGAAAUCAAAGGUGUUUCUGACAGAAAUGUAAAGAAAGAAUCCAAACAUUGUCUGCUCUUACAGACUUUGACUCAGUAUUUGAUCUCAGACCUUGUAAAAGUAGAUUCAAACUUACUCGUUAAUCCUAACAGUUCCAAGUACUGUACUUUGUUUUUUCUUAUUGGUUUUAUUGUCCUUGCCAUUCCAUUUUUGAUUGCCAUCUCCAUCUCCCACUGGCUUGUACAGGUAUUUUUGUCAUUUGUAAAAUGCUGGGAGAACUUGAGAUAAUAGGCACUGCAUAAAUGUCAUGUGUUAUUUUAGUGAAACUGGGACAAACUGCUAGUUUCAAACAUAAUUGGCUACAGUGGAGAAACUGGAGCAUCCGCCAAAAACUGGGGCAAGGUAUGUAUAAGGUGCUAAUAUUUGUCCUAAAGUGGCAGAUUUCCCUCUGUUCCUAGGAGCUCACCCUUAUUAUUUAGGGGUGUGACCAAGAGCUUUAAAAGAAUUUCAUCUGUAUUAAAAAAAAACCAAAACAUUUCCUGGGAACAGGAAGUAAUUCAGCAAAUCAGUGUUUGUUUUUAACAUCCACGAGCCAAAAUUUAAAUCUAGCUUAAGCCCAAAGGGAAACAAGUUGGGCAAUUUCAGCAUAAUCCCUUCAGAAAUGUAUUCUCUUCACGUGAACAGUGCUCAGCACAGUAGCAGCUCUGUGCAGGACAAGCCUCACACUGAAACAUAAGAACUGCUACAGUUCAGCUUAGAAAGGAGAGCCUUUAUUGGCAGGCUUGAUAAUAAUAUCCUAUGUAAAUUCAUAAAUAAUCUUAGCAUAUUGACAUCCUGUAACGGAAACGUGGAAAGCUUGCCUAGGAGCUGCCUACAUUCAUCUUCAUUCUAUCCUGUACUGGCAUUUGUCCCAGUUUCCUAUGCCUGAAGUUCACAAUAUCUGUUUUUAAAGGAACACACUGACCCUUAUAGAGACCAGAAAGCCUGAUUUGCUCCUAGUUUGAAUUUUUACAUCCUCUUUCCCUAUAACAACUGGGUUUUGAAGUGCCAACAAGCCAAAGGAAAAUGGUCUUCAUGGGAGCAAACCUGGCGUACAGAUGACUAAAGAACAUGCAUUUACUGCACCACUGGACCUUGUGUCGAAUAAUGUAAAGUAGCAGUAUGCAACGUGUCUAGUUCUGGGCUCUUCAAUUCAAGAGAGAUGUUGAGGUGCUAGAACAUGUCCAGAGAAGGGCGAUGAAGCUGGUGAAAGGUCUGGAACACAAGCCCUAUGAGGAGAGGCUGAGGGAGCUGGGGUUGUUUAGCCCAGAAAAGAGGAGGCUCAGGGGUGACCUCAUUGCUGUCUACAACUACCUGAAGGGAGGUUGUAGCCAGGUGGGGUUGGUCUCUUCUCCCAGGCAACCAGCAAUAGAACAAGGGGAAACAGUCUCAAGUUGUGCCGGGGGAAGUACAGGCUGGAUGUUAGGAGGAAGUUCAUCCCAGAGAGAGUGAUUGGCAUUGGAAUGGGCUGCCCAGGGAGGUGGUGGAGUCACCAUCCCUGGAGGUGUUGAAGAAAAGAGUGGAUGAGGCAUUUAGUGCCAUGGUCUAGAUGACUGGAUAGGGCUAGAUGACUGGAUUGGGCUGGAUGAUCUUGGAGGUCUCUUCCAACCUGGUUGAUUCUAUGAACCCUGGAACACCCAUGUGGAGCUAAAGCCUGUAGUCCAGCCUUACCAUUACAUAUCAACCCUGGACAACAGCUUUUUGUCAGAGGCUUUAAGCAGCUACCCAUGAACUAGUGUCCUAAAGUCACAAGUCUGCAAAGUUUGCCAUGGCCAACAGUAAUUCUGCCUUCCUGAAGCAAGUCUGAUACAGAUGGAAGUCCCCCAGUGCCUUCUCUAAGAAAGGGAGAGGUGAGAUCAGAGCCCCACAGCUGAGAGCUGCUCUGCAGAAUUAGGUAUUGAAAUGUUUCUGGAAGAACAGAGUAUUUCAUGCUGUGUGGCAAGGAGGUUCAGGGUUUUCUGUACAACAGAACCACUUCACUCAUCCAGGAGAUUGUCACAGCAAGACACUUCCAGUGUACAUGCAUAUCUCCUGGUAAAAGGGCUCAUGUCAUCACCAGAAAAAUAUCCCUCUCUCAGUGAAACAUGCUGUGUAGG
This is a long non-coding RNA of Pogoniulus pusillus (Red-fronted tinkerbird), 3566 nucleotides long. RefSeq lists it as uncharacterized. The transcript is spliced from 4 exons. NCBI's taxonomy places the organism in Eukaryota, Metazoa, Chordata, Aves, Piciformes, Lybiidae. The record is from RefSeq and is a predicted model, not a curated record.